Molecule: ribosomal RNA, 207 nt
Filed under: uncultured bacterium
Lineage: Bacteria
Description: partial 16S ribosomal RNA
Rfam family: Bacterial small subunit ribosomal RNA
Source: RNAcentral
CACGUAGGCGGUUUGGUAAGUCUGAUGUGAAAGCCCUGGACUUAAUCCAGGAAGUGCAUUGGAUACUGCCAGACUAGAGGACAGGAGAGGUGAGCGGAAUUCCAGGUGUAGAGGUGAAAUUCGUAGAUAUCUGGAGGAACAACGGAGGCGAAGGCGGCUCACUGGACUGUUACUGACGCUGAGGUGCGAAAGCGUGGGGAGCGAACG